ACUCCUACGGGAGGCAGCAGCUAAGAAUCUUCCGCAAUGGGGGAAACCCUGACGGAGCGACGCCGCGUGGACGAUGAAGGCCGUAAGGUUGUAAAGUCCUUUUGCAGGUGAAGAAUAAGCCGGGGAGUGGAAAGCCCUGGUGAUGACGUUAGCCUGCGAAUAAGCCCCGGCCAAUUACGUGCCAGCAGCCGCGGUAAUACGUAUGGGGCAAGCGUUGUUCGGAGUUAUUGGGCGUAAAGGGCGUGUAGGCGGCUCGAGAAGUCUGGUGUGAAAUCGCAGGGCCCAACCCUGCGGGUGCGCUGGAAACUGACGAGCUUGAGUCCCGGGGGGGAAGCUGGAAUUCCUGGUGUAGGAGUGAAAUCUGUAGAGAUCAGGAAGAACACCGGUGGCGAAGGCGAGCUUCUAUUCGAGGACUGACGCUGAGGCGCGAAAGCGUGGGGAGCAAACAGGAUUAGAUACCCUGGUAGUCCACGCUGUAAACGAUGUGCACUAGGCGUGGGGCACGUCGGUGCUCUGUGCCGAAGUCAACGCGAUAAGUGCACCGCCUGGGGAGUAUGCUCGCAAGGGUGAAACUCAAAGGAAUUGACGG
Molecule: ribosomal RNA, 589 nt
Filed under: uncultured bacterium
Lineage: Bacteria
Description: bacterial SSU rRNA
Rfam family: Bacterial small subunit ribosomal RNA
Source: RNAcentral